GAGAGAGAGACAUGCGCGCAUAUCAAUAAGCGGAGGAAAAGAAGCUAACAAGGAUUCCCUUAGUAACGGCGAGUGAAGCGGGAAGAGCUCAAAUUUGAAAUCUUCAAGGUUUUACCUUGACGAAUUGUAGUUUAAAGAAGUGUUUUCUGCUGAAGUUUUGGUAAAAGUUCUUUGGAAUAGGACAGUCAUAGAGGGUGAGAAUCCCGUAUUUGACCAUUAUUUUCAGCUUUGUGAUACACUUUCAAAGAGUCGGAUUGUUUGGGAAUGCAGUCCAAAAUGGGUGGUAAAUUUCAUCUAAAGCUAAAUAUUGGCGAGAGACCGAUAGCGAACAAGUACCGUGAGGGAAAGGAUGAAAAGAACUUUGAAAAGAGAGUUAAACAGUAUGUGAAAUUGUCAAAAGGGAAGCGUUUGACACCAGUGUUGUUUUCUCGAAAAUCAAUUAAAAAUGGCUCGAUUUUGUAUUGUUGAGACCUUAAAAGCUCACUGUACAUUUUUCGUGUCUUUUUUAAUGCACUUUUCGUUUAACAAGUCAACAUCAGUUUCUUUUGUAGUAAAAGGGUCAUUGGAAGGUGGCUUUCUUUUCGGAGAAAGUGUUUAUAGCCUUUGGCCUCUGCAAUCGAAGAGACUGAGGUCUGCAGCGUAGACUCUUCGGGGUUAGAUACAUUUGUGCUAAGUUAUAGCUUUUUAUAGACAACUUGUUGACUAUAAUUAGUCUUGUAGCUUACUCGCUUAUGCUAUUUUACCUACGCUUAGGAUGUUGAGUCGUAGAGCACGCAG
RNAcentral lists this ribosomal RNA (777 nucleotides) under uncultured Neocallimastigales. RNAcentral's name for it is "partial large subunit ribosomal RNA". It matches the Rfam family "Eukaryotic large subunit ribosomal RNA", at positions 23 to 634 of the family's 3401-position model. The record is from RNAcentral. Lineage: Eukaryota; Fungi; Neocallimastigomycota; Neocallimastigomycetes; Neocallimastigales.